UAUAGACCCGAAACCCGGUGAUCUAGCCAUGGGCAGGUUGAAGGUUGGGUAACACUAACUGGAGGACCGAACCGACUAAUGUUGAAAAAUUAGCGGAUGACCUGUGGCUGGGGGUGAAAGGCCAAUCAAACCGGGAGAUAGCUGGUUCUCCCCGAAAGCUAUUUAGGUAGCGCCUCGUGAACUCAUCUUCGGGGGUAGAGCACUGUUUCGGCUAGGGGGCCAUCCCGGCUUACCAACCCGAUGCAAACUACGAAUACCGAAGAAUGUUAUCACGGGAGACACACGGCGGGUGCUAACGUCCGUCGUGAAGAGGGAAACAACCCAGACCGCCAGCUAAGGUCCCAAAGUCAUGGUUAAGUGGGAAACGAUGUGGGAAGGCCCAGACAGCCAGGAUGUUGGCUUAGCUCACUGGUCGAGUCGGCCUGCGCGGAAGAUGUAACGGGGCUAAACCAUGCACCGAAGCUGCGGCAGCGACGCUUAUGCGUUGUUGGGUAGGGGAGCGUUCUGUAAGCCGUUGAAGGUGGCCUGUGAGGGCUGCUGGAGGUAUCAGAAGUGCGAAUGCUGACAUAAGUAACGAUAAAGCGGGUGAAAAGCCCGCUCGCCGGAAGACCAAGGGUUCCUGUCCAACGUUAAUCGGGGCAGGGUGAGUCGACCCCUAAGGCGAGGCCGAAAGGCGUAGUCGAUGGGAAACAGGUUAAUAUUCCUGUACUUGGUGUUACUGCGAAGGGGGGACGGAGAAGGCUAUGUUAGCCGGGCGACGGUUGUCCCGGUUUAAGCAUGUAGGCGGAGGUUCCAGGUAAAUCCGGUACCUUUUAACGCUGAGGUGUGAUGACGAGGCACUACGGUGCUGAAGUAACAAAUGCCCUGCUUCCAGGAAAAGCCUCUAAGCAUCAGGUAACACGAAAUCGUACCCCAAACCGACACAGGUGGUCAGGUAGAGAAUACCAAGGCGCUUGAGAGAACUCGGGUGAAGGAACUAGGCAAAAUGGUGCCGUAACUUCGGGAGAAGGCACGCUGAUAUGUAGGUGAAGCCCCUGCGGGUGGAGCUGAAAUCAGUCGAAGAUACCAGCUGGCUGCAACUGUUUAUUAAAAACACAGCACUGUGCAAACACGAAAGUGGACGUAUACGGUGUGACGCCUGCCCGGUGCCGGAAGGUUAAUUGAUGGGGUUAGCGG
This 1176-nucleotide ribosomal RNA is filed under the name Enterobacter cloacae. RNAcentral describes it as "partial 23S ribosomal RNA". It matches the Rfam family "Bacterial large subunit ribosomal RNA", at positions 708 to 1896 of the family's 2925-position model. Lineage: Bacteria; Pseudomonadati; Pseudomonadota; Gammaproteobacteria; Enterobacterales; Enterobacteriaceae. The record is from RNAcentral.